RNAcentral lists this ribosomal RNA (253 nucleotides) under uncultured bacterium. Its description in RNAcentral is "partial 16S ribosomal RNA". It matches the Rfam family "Bacterial small subunit ribosomal RNA", at positions 524 to 776 of the family's 1533-position model. The record is from RNAcentral.
UACGUAGGGGGCAAGCGUUGUCCGGAUUCAUUGGGCGUAAAGCGCGUGUAGGCGGUUCGGUAAGUCUGCUGUGAAAGUCGGGGGCUCAACCCUCGGAUGCCGGUGGAUACUGUCGAGCUUGAGUACGGAAGAGGCGAGUGGAAUUCCUGGUGUAGCGGUGAAAUGCGCAGAUAUCAGGAGGAACACCAAUUGCGAAGGCAGCUCGCUGGGACGUUACUGACGCUGAGACGCGAAAGCGUGGGGAGCAAACAGG